UUUCUGCGGCUGUCCGUUGGCGGUGGGGAGGGGUCUGUGCUUUGUUAGAAAGGCUUUUUCCCGAAGUCACCUUUUUUGUGGGCCUUAAUUAGAGCCGUUGGAUUAACCACGGUCAUCUGUAGGGAGGUUGAGUUUCGCAGAUGAGACUUUUAGGUGGUCUGGUGGUAUAACCCCGUGAUUGACAGCGAGGAGAAGAGCGCGCUCCUCUCUGCGCCUCUGCUGGGAGGCACUGCAGUCGCGUUGGGCUGUGUUUUGCUUUUAUCUCUUCUUAUUAUUGGCAGUUAAGAGAAAUAAAUUUCUUCUGGCCACGAAAUAGCUGUGGCAGUGGAAAGUGGGGCUGGAAAGGCUUUUGUGUGGAGAUGUGGGUAGUUAGGAGAGCCAACUUGCUAGCAUUUCGGGGAACGCUAUCAGCUUCUGUAUUUGAGGAAAGCUGCAGAUAGACCGCUUUUCCUGUCUUAUAGUUGCAAGAGAAAGAAAACACGCAUGAAAUUGUGUGGACGAGGCAAUUCUGAUGUUGCGUUGAAAGUGAGAGCUGCUCUCGUAGGUGCUCCUGCCUGUCCUCUGCAUGGUGUGGGAUGUUUGGCGCUCUGGAGAACCCUUUUAUCACUAGAGUGCUUCGUUCCUAAUCGUCGCUUUGCUGUUCUUGAAUCUAACAUCCCAUAUCCCAUGGGUUCUCCACAGUCGAAGUGUUUCUGGAUCGUCUGAAUCAUGAUUUUAAGCCGGCAGCCUACUCACAUUUCGCUUAAUCUCAUCUAUUUCCAGUGCAUUAGCAUCAUUAUGGCAGGGAGAGCUCAGAAAUGUCAGGUGUAGUGGGAGCAGUCCAGUCAGGCCAAUCUUGGCCUGCUCCUGUCUCCUCCUCACCAUUGCAGCUGGAGGAUGUGAUUCUCUCAGGCUUGCUGAUGGUCUAAAUCCCGGCGUUUCCCACCCACCUCCUCUUUGCAUUCUCAGCUCCACAUAUUCCCAUCUCUGUUCCGUCGCUGCCGUAAGAGCUCAUGCUGCCUCUUGCUUCAGCAGCAAGCCAUUGCCAACAAGGCUUAUUUGAGCUGUACAGACAUGCCCAACCCACGUUUAGAAAAGAAAGUCUUUGUUUCUGCCUCCCUUUUCACUGUCUUCAUCUUCCUGAAGAGGAGACAGCAUGCUUUAAAAGCACAUUUUGUAUCUUCGCCGGUCUCCACUGGAGUAGUCAGUGGAUGUAUCAGUGAGACUCAUUUUAUUGUUAAUUUAUCUUCUUGAUACACAAUAUCAGACUCCAUUUUCAUUGACUGAAUAACUGUGGAGUCAUUAUAAAGGCAAUAAGAACUGAGUUACUAGCCUUGGAAGUGAUUACUGCUAGAUUUUUGCCUCUUAGGCCUCUAAACAGGAUGCUGCAUUAUUACAUGCAAUUCUCUUCCCUGAUGUACUGUCUGAGCAUUGGCCAGACUAUCAUGUACCACUGAUUCAUACAGAAUGCUUAAUCUCAGUGGAGCCAAAGUUUGUAAGAGAGACUUCUGGUCAUUGAAAUCCUCUGAAAUAUGAUUCGUUUCAAACAGCUGUGUAUGCUUCUCCUUUAGGGACAUGGAUGUCAGGCCACAUGUGUGAUAGGCAAGGCCACAAAAUGAGCAUCAGGGCUGUGCAUCCCUGAAGUUGAAUUUCACAGCUGGAGGAGUAGUUUGAAGAUGAGGUGACGGUCUUCCAGCAUGGUUAUGUGAAUUACAGAACCUAAACCAUGGCUUACACAAGUGAUUUUCCUUGGAAAAUAAAUACCUGCUUUUGAAAAUAUCUGAACGUGCAGAAAUGAAGUGAGGAAAUGUGGUAGUUGCCAGUCAGCCUGGGCUUUCCUUUGUUUACUGUGUUCAUCAGCCUGAGCCUGGUGCGAAGCACAGCAGCCAUUUGAAUACAAUGUGCAUGAGCCAGCUGGCAGCAUUGUCUGUUAGGCUAGUCAGCAGCAGGAUUCUCUCUUUUACUUAGGUGAUGCUCUGAUCUUUUUUCAGAGUUUAUAUUGGAGCAGUUCUCAAAGGCCCUAGAAAUGAAGUAGAAAUGAUCUGCUCCACAGAGAUUUAUGAAGAACUUGUCACGACUCUUGCUGCCCCUCUCUGCUCCUCUGGUACAAACUGUGCCACAGAGCAGCAAAGAAUUGAAUAUUUUCAAAAGCAGGUGCAUGAGGAAAGUUGGCUUUUCACUUUUACUUGCUUGGGAGAGAAGGAAAGACGGAGAGGAAGAAAAGGAAAGAUGGGGCCUGGGAUUUGUAAGACUAUAUCAGUACUUGAAGGAAUCAUUGAAUAAAGCACCUCACAUACAUCUUGUUCAUCCUCUGGCACUCCUAACAAAGCAGUAGCUGUGACUGCAGUAUGUGGAGUGGCUGAUGCUGCAGGUUAAGCAGGAAGUACUUACUGGGUCUUGCUCCUCAGAAAAAGAUGUACUUGAGCAAGCUUCUGCAAGCUGCUCAGUUUUGCACAGGAAUGGAAUUUUUUUUAAUGUAUGUGCCAGUAUUGCUCUGCUAUAUAAAAAUGCACUGUGUUGGUUUUCUGAACGUAGUUUGAUCAUCGUAAAUCCACUGAAGUUCUCAUUUAAUCAUGUAUGUACACCUGUUCUCACUAUUAGACAUAUCCAGUUGAUGAUCCUGCAAGACCACUUGAUCCUGCUCUAGUCUUGAGAUAGCUCAAAAGAUGCUGCCUUUUGCACCAAAGAGGCAAUCCAUUUGCCAGCUUCUGAUGUUCCCAGAUUGGCAUGCUGCUUUGUGCAACCAGGAUAGAAGAUAGAGGCUUGCACAGCAUGUGUCCUAAUUAUGCAGCAGAUAGAAUAUUUCAUGGGAACAUGAAAACUGGUCUAAAUCUGAAAUAGUAACCUAAAACUAAAGUGUUCAGUGUCAUAAUCAGGCUCCCAAGUUUUCCAAGCUUCCACGCUGAUCCUGCAGUAUUAUGUUAAGCUUUCAUUUCAUAUCCUUCUAGAUAACUCAGUCCAACUUCUUCCAACAGUCUAGAAAGAAAAUAUAUUGCAUGCCAUGUCUAGUUCUUGAGGGUAACGUAACGGAAUGGCAUAUGCUUCUGGUCUUCAUUUAUUGCCAUCUUCACAGAAUCAUAGAAUCACAGAAUGGCCUGGGUUGAAAAGGACCACAAUGAUC
Lagopus leucura (white-tailed ptarmigan) is the source of this 3100-nucleotide long non-coding RNA. RefSeq lists it as uncharacterized. The transcript has 4 exons. NCBI's taxonomy places the organism in Eukaryota, Metazoa, Chordata, Aves, Galliformes, Phasianidae. The record is from RefSeq and is a predicted model, not a curated record.